Hippocampus zosterae (dwarf seahorse) is the source of this 1114-nucleotide long non-coding RNA. RefSeq lists it as uncharacterized. The transcript has 3 exons. NCBI's taxonomy places the organism in Eukaryota, Metazoa, Chordata, Actinopteri, Syngnathiformes, Syngnathidae. The record is from RefSeq and is a predicted model, not a curated record.
CUUUUAAUCAGUGUAUUUUAAUUUCUUGGCUUUCUGCAUUUUUUUGUCUUCUGUGAUGUGUAUUGUAUUCCAAAUGCCACAAGGGACAGGUACUAGAGGGACUAUGUGAUGGAGACCCAAGAACCGGAAAGUGGUCUUAACUGGAUCUGGUCUGAAUUUGUCAUUUUUGAUUGAUUUCGCAACAUGAGCUCAAUCACCAGAUGCCCAACUGCUCUAAAUUCAACUCUUAAUCAUCAACGGUAGAUUGCUGCUUUUGUGAAUCAUGACCAAACACACACACACACACACACACACACACACACACACACACACACACACACACACACACACACACACACACACACAUACAGAUUUUAAAUGCCAAGACAUUCCUUCCUAAUUGAAUAACUUUGGAAAUACAUUUGACAAGCACAAACCAAUCUCUCUCUCUCUCUCUUUCCCUACUCAUCUUUGCCUUGAUUUGUCCUCGCCAGUGUUUGCCUUUCCCCGGCCUCCAUUUGGCACUUAUGUAAUGUGGUGGUGAGAAUCUGCUGGCUGAACAAACAGGGCUACAUCACUGGGGAUUAGAAGCUGUCAGAUGUGACCCACAUGUUGUGCCACCUCCCUGCAGUAGGAAACUGCAGUACCUGGAGAAAGCACACGCACAUGGGGAGAACAUGCAAACUCUACACCGGAAGGGACCGAAUAUGAACCCGCAACGUGAGAUCUCGCAGGCCAGCGAGAACGAGGUCUGCAAGCCUAAUGAAAUGCUUGUUCGGAGAGGCAGCCUGAACUUGUUAGCAUUCAGCAUCGCCACGGCAACGCGUAGGCAACCACAACAACACACAAGCAAUCACGUCAACAUCAUCUACUGAAUGGACAAGCAGCAGAAGUCAGCCUGUUUGUGUGCACAUUGUGUGUGUUUUCUAAUCAAGGAGCAAUGUUUGUUUGGUUGAAUGUGUUGCGAUGAUGAUGUCAAAACUAAAAAGUUCCGUUUUUCCAGUGCCAAUGCCUGAAGUAUUAUCAAAAGAGUUUAGAGAGGUUUAUUCUGGCACGUCCUGAGAUAGACUGCCUUUGGAGGCUAAUCAAAGUGCAAGUGAUACAUCCCACUGACUCAAUCUCUCUUUCCUCAACU